RNAcentral lists this ribosomal RNA (367 nucleotides) under uncultured organism. RNAcentral's name for it is "bacterial LSU rRNA". It matches the Rfam family "Bacterial large subunit ribosomal RNA", at positions 2099 to 2465 of the family's 2925-position model. The record is from RNAcentral.
CUUUACUGUAACUUGAAAUUGAAAUUGGACUUUAUUUGCGCAGGAUAGGUGGGAGGCCUUGAGAAUCUUCUUGCGGGAAGAUUGGAGCCAUCAGUGAGAUACCACUCUUGUAAUGUUAGAUUUCUAACUUUGAAUCAUUAUCUGGUCAAAGAACAGUUUCAGGCGGGCAGUUUGACUGGGGCGGUCGCCUCCUAAAGGGUAACGGAGGCGCACAAAGGUUUCCUCUGAACGGGUAGAAAUCGUAUCUAGAGUGUAAAGGCAUAAGGAAGCUUGACUGUGAGACCUACAAGUCGAGCAGGGACGAAAGUCGGUCUUAGUGAUCUGACGGUGCUGAGUGAAAAGGCCGUCACUCAACGGAUAAAAGUUA